GAUGAACGCUGGCGGCGUGCUUAACACAUGCAAGUCGAACGGUGAAGCAGGAGCUUGCUCUUGUGGAUCAGUGGCGAACGGGUGAGUAACACGUGAGCAACCUGCCCCUGACUCUGGGAUAAGCGCUGGAAACGGCGUCUAAUACUGGAUAUGUGAUGUGACCGCAUGGUCUGCAUCUGGAAAGAAUUUCGGUUGGGGAUGGUCUCGCGGCCUAUCAGCUUGUUGGUGAGGUAAUGGCUCACCAAGGCGUCGACGGGUAGCCGGCCUGAGAGGGUGACCGGCCACACUGGGACUGAGACACGGCCGAGACUCAUACGGGAGGCAGCAGUGGGGAAUAUUGCACAAUGGGCGGAAGCCUGAUGCAGCAACGCCGCGUGAGGGAUGACGGCCUUCGGGUUGUAAACCUCUUUUAGCAGGGAAGAAGCGAAAGUGACGGUACCUGCAGAAAAAGCACCGGCUAACUACGUGCCAGCAGCCGCCGUAA
This 484-nucleotide ribosomal RNA is filed under the name uncultured bacterium. RNAcentral describes it as "partial 16S ribosomal RNA". It matches the Rfam family "Bacterial small subunit ribosomal RNA", at positions 28 to 523 of the family's 1533-position model. The record is from RNAcentral.